CGCUGCUGUAGCUGCAGUAAUCAGGACAGCGUGUGUAGCUUCCCUUCCGCAGUGGCAAGCCGAAAAAGUAUACCUGCCGCCCGCCCUAGCUAUAAAUGUGUUCAUGCUGCUGACCUUUCUUUGGCCCCACACAGAGCUGCAGUGUAUUCAGCGCUGAGUCGCUGACAGCACAGUGAUGGAUGUAAGGAGGACGGCAGCCUUCACCUCCACGUUAGUAAAGAGAGAGAGGACUGGAGUGCUCUUUCCUGUGCCCAGUGACAAAAUAGAAAGAAGAUAGAUCUCCAUCACCCCCAAUGAACUCGGAUGUACCGUAGUCCAUUUACAAGGAAGACAAUUGUUCUGUUCCCUUCAUUACUAACAAAGAAUGAUCCUGAAUUCUAUGUAAAUAUUUUAUCCCACUCACUGAUGACAUACAAGUGAAUCCAGCAUUUUGUGAGGAACGCUCCCAUCUGCUCAGUUCGUCCCACCAGAACGUUCCAAAUCUGGCCCCCACAGAGGUGCCACCAAUUUCAUGUAAUAGUUCCAUGUACUUUGCACUCAGGUGCAUUAAGAGUCCCAUUACUCUGCCAAAGGUCUGUGAACUAAUCUUAAAAAAUAUAGAAUCCCUAGAAGGCAAAAUGGGGAGUAAAUGUAAGUCAUGGAAUGUAUUGUCAUAAAGAUUCAUUAAUGCUGAUUGUCUAUUUCAAUGUCAAUUGCUAGAAGAGGAGUUUAUAUUAUAUACAGUUAGACAGCGGAACUAUCUUUCAUUACAAAUAUUCUGACUUUCCAUCAGGUUUCCUGACUCUUGCAGGUUGUGUUUUGUGCUGGGAAAACAAAUUCUCACAAUCAGUUUUCAGGUCUGUUUUUACCAUAUAAAACAUUUUUCCCAUAUUUAAUCCUAAGGUAAAUACAAACGGAAGGUCAUUCAGAUCUAAUCGCUGGGCUGCUUUUUUUGCUGUGGGAGUGUAUUAUCUCCAUGCAAGUGUGCGAUGUUAUGUGUACGCUGAGAUGCUAAAGUUCUGUGUAUGCAGUCUCUGCGCAGCCCAGGACUUCCUCUUCCAGUGCGAUAGAAUCAGGCUGAUUGGGGCCGGAGCUGACGUCACAUACCCAUACGCUUGGGCACGCCUGCUUUUUCCCGAGCACUCCCAGUAAACGGUCAGUUACCACCCGUAAAUGGCUUCCUCCUGACAAUCACCUUGCGAACGACUGUGCAAACGUAUUUUUCGCACCAUCCCGUCACUGACCAGCGAUACCCGUUGUUGUUGUCCGCAUGCGCUUUUAUGAACAGAUCACCCGCUCUGCAAAAGGGCACAGCAGCGAUCAGAUCUGAAUGACCCCCACGGUGCAAUGUAACCUUACGAUUAUGACUAUAUAGUUAGUGCAAAUCGCACCGUGUGUACAACGCUUGCGAUACUGAUGCGCGUGCCCGUGGGGUCAGUAUCGCAAGAAAAGAUAGACUGUGCAGGCAAGUCAAUCUUGACUAUAUUUUGUACACUCUAGUACAUAGUACAGAUGGAGCCACCCGUCUGCGCGCCUAUCGCCUAGAGCGUGCCGGUCAACCCGGGUACGUGCACCUGCAAUGGAGACGUGCCCCAUUCACUUGAAUGGAGAGCGUCUCCAUCUGCGCACCCGGACAGUGAUGCUGUGAAUGGGAGCGUCUCUGUGCACUCCCGGCGUGACUAGGCGCACGGAUCGCCUAGUCAUGGUAGGAGUUCUCAUUUGCGAUGGAGCCGCCUCAGAUGAGCGCGGCUCCGUCUGUAUAGUCAAAAUUGGCACUUAGUCAAAAUCUCACAUAGUCAAAAUCUCAAGUAAAGAUAGUCAAUAUCGGUGGUUCAGGGCUCCGGGGAGUUAAUAUCUCACCGUGUGUAUGCACCUUAAGACUCCUGUCACCAAGUUCCAUAAAAAUAUAUAUAUAUUUUAAUGAUAUUUGUUAUUAUCAGAUUCUAAGCAUAGUCUUUAUGUGACUUACUUGUACAUCACAUUCAUCACUAUUUGUACUAGAUCAUUUAUUUCCAAAAUUCCUGUUACUAUUUGUAGUUUUUGAUUAGAAAUGAAACAUAAUAAAGUCUAUAAGUAAAGCGUA
Pseudophryne corroboree (corroboree frog) is the source of this 2062-nucleotide long non-coding RNA. RefSeq lists it as uncharacterized. NCBI's taxonomy places the organism in Eukaryota, Metazoa, Chordata, Amphibia, Anura, Myobatrachidae. The transcript has 2 exons. The record is from RefSeq and is a predicted model, not a curated record.